This 313-nucleotide ribosomal RNA is filed under the name Mychocerus sp. Panama. RNAcentral's name for it is "partial 12S ribosomal RNA". Lineage: Eukaryota; Metazoa; Arthropoda; Insecta; Coleoptera; Cerylonidae. The record is from RNAcentral.
AGUUCUCGAAAAUUAAAAAUUUUGGCGGUAUUUUAGUCUUUUUAGAGGAACCUGUUCUAUAAUUGAUAUUCCACGAUUAGUUUAACUUUUCUUUUUAAUUUAUAUAUCGUCGUGAGUUGAAUAUUUUAUCAGAAAUUUAAUGUUCAAGUUUUAAUAUAUUAAAAAAAUUCAGAUCAAGAUGUAAUUUAUAGGAAAGUAGAAAUGGGUUACAAUAAAAUUAUUUAUAUGGAUUAGAAAUUUAAAUUUUCUGUGAAAGUGGAUUUAAGUGUAAUUUUUAUAAUAUUUAUAAAAUGAUUAUAGCUCUAGAAUAUGC